RNAcentral lists this ribosomal RNA (253 nucleotides) under uncultured bacterium. Its description in RNAcentral is "partial 16S ribosomal RNA". It matches the Rfam family "Bacterial small subunit ribosomal RNA", at positions 524 to 776 of the family's 1533-position model. The record is from RNAcentral.
UACAGAGGUGGCAAACGUUGUCCGGAUUUAUUGGGUGUAAAGGGCAUGUAGGUGGCUUUGUAAGUCAAAGGUGAAAUGGCCCGGCUCAACCAGGUCAUUGCCUUUGAAACUGCCGAGCUUGAGUUCGGAAGAGGAAAGCGGAAUUCCCAGUGUAGCGGUGAAAUGCGUAGAUAUUGGGAGGAACACCGGUGGCGAAGGCGGCUUUCUGGUCCGAAACUGACACUAAGAUGCGAAAGCCAGGGGAGCAGACGGG